UUUCUUCAGCACUGAGUACUCUAUCAGUGGCGCAGACCAAGCGUCAUGCAGAAACAACCUUAAGAAGGAAAGGAGUUUCUGCAUCACGCGUUUUUAAAAGUGCCAACACAAAGCAGAGUAUUGAGUGCUGAAGAAAUCUUAGUGGCGGACGGGUGAGUAACACGUGGGCAACCUGCCUUAGAGUGGGGGAUAACACCGGGAAAUCGGUGCUAAUACCGCAUAACAUACACAUACUGCAUAGUGAGUGUAUGAAAGGAGCAAUCCGCUUUAAGAUGGGCCCGCGUCUGAUUAGCUAGUUGGUAAGGUAACGGCUUACCAAGGCAACGAUCAGUAGCCGAUCUGAGAGGGUGACCGGCCACACUGGAACUGAGACACGGUCCAGACUCCUACGGGAGGCAGCAGUGGGGAAUAUUGCGCAAUGGGGGGAACCCUGACGCAGCAACGCCGCGUGGAGGAAGAAGGUCUUCGGAUUGUAAACUCCUGUCUUUCGGGACGAUAAUGACGGUACCGGAGGAGGAAGCCACGGCUAACUACGUGCCAGCAGCCGCGGUAAUACGUAGGUGGCGGGCGUUGUCCGGAAUUACUGGGCGUAAAGGGCGUGCAGGCGGUUUUUUAAGUCAGAUGUGAAACCCCGGGGCUUAACUCCGGGAUUGCAUUUGAAACUGAAGGGCUUGAGUGCAGGAGAGGUAAGUGGAAUUCCUAGUGUAGCGGUGAA
RNAcentral lists this ribosomal RNA (715 nucleotides) under bacterium enrichment culture clone BH92. Its description in RNAcentral is "bacterial SSU rRNA". It matches the Rfam family "Bacterial small subunit ribosomal RNA", at positions 72 to 685 of the family's 1533-position model. The record is from RNAcentral.